RNAcentral lists this ribosomal RNA (468 nucleotides) under uncultured bacterium. RNAcentral's name for it is "partial 16S ribosomal RNA". It matches the Rfam family "Bacterial small subunit ribosomal RNA", at positions 28 to 507 of the family's 1533-position model. The record is from RNAcentral.
GACGAACGCUGGCGGCGUGCUUAACACAUGCAAGUCGAACGGAAAGGCCCUGCUUUUGUGGGGUGCUCGAGUGGCGAACGGGUGAGUAACACGUGAGUAACCUGUCCUUGACUUUGGGAUUACUUCAGGAAACUGGGGCUAAUACCGGAUAGGAGCUCCUGCUGCAUGGUGGGGGUUGGAAAGUUUCGGCGGUUGGGGAUGGACUCGCGGCUUAUCAGCUUGUUGGUGGGGUAGUGGCUUACCAAGGCUUUGACGGGUAGCCGGCCUGAGAGGGUGACCGGCCACAAUGGGACUGAGAUAGGGCCCAGACUCCUACGGGAGGCAGCAGUGGGGAGUAUUGCACAGUGGGCGGAAGCCUGAUGCAGCAACGCCGCGUGCGGAAUGACGGCCUUCGGGUUGUAAACCGCUUUCGCCUGUGACGAAGCGUGAGUGACGGUAAUGGGUAAAGAAGCACCGGCUAACUACGUG